UACGAAGGGGGCUAGCGUUGCUCGGAAUCACUGGGCGUAAAGCGCACGUAGGCGGAUUGCUAAGUCAGGGGUGAAAUCUUGGAGCUCAACUCCAGAACUGCCUUUGAUACUGGCGAUCUCGAGUCCGGGAGAGGUGAGUGGAACUGCGAGUGUAGAGGUGAAAUUCGUAGAUAUUCGCAAGAACACCAGUGGCGAAGGCGGCUCACUGGCCCGGUACUGACGCUGAGGUGCGAAAGCGUGGGGAGCAAACAGG
Molecule: ribosomal RNA, 253 nt
Filed under: uncultured bacterium
Lineage: Bacteria
Description: partial 16S ribosomal RNA
Rfam family: Bacterial small subunit ribosomal RNA
Source: RNAcentral